AACGAACGCUGGCGGCAUGCCUAACACAUGCAAGUCGAACGAGACCUUCGGGUCUAGUGGCGCACGGGUGCGUAACGCGUGGGAACCUGCCCUUAGGUUCGGAAUAACUCCCCGAAAGGGGUGCUAAUACCGGAUAAUGUCUUCCGACCAAAGAUUGAUCGCCUUUGGAUGGGCCCGCGUUGGAUUAGCUAGUUGGUAGGGUAAAAGCCUACCAAGGCGACGCUCCAUAGCUGGUCUGAUAGGAUGAUCAGCCACACUUGGACUGAGGCACGGCCCAGAAUCCUACGCAAGGCAGCAGUGGGGAAUAUUGGACAAUGGGCGAAAGCCUGAUCCAGCAAUGCCGGGUGAGUGAUGAAGGCCUUAGGGUUGUAAAGCUAUUUUACCCGGGAUGAUAAUGACGGUACCGGGAGAAUAAGCUCCGGCUAACUCCGUG
RNAcentral lists this ribosomal RNA (433 nucleotides) under uncultured bacterium. Its description in RNAcentral is "partial 16S ribosomal RNA". It matches the Rfam family "Bacterial small subunit ribosomal RNA", at positions 29 to 507 of the family's 1533-position model. The record is from RNAcentral.